GGUUAAGCGACUAAGCGUACACGGUGGAUGCCCUGGCAGUCAGAGGCGAUGAAGGACGUGCUAAUCUGCGAUAAGCGUCGGUGAGGUGAUAUGAACCGUUAUAACCGGCGAUUUCCGAAUGGGGAAACCCAGUGUGUUUCGACACACUAUCAUUAACUGAAUCCAUAGGUUAAUGAGGCGAACCGGGGGAACUGAAACAUCUAAGUACCCCGAGGAAAAGAAAUCAACCGAGAUUCCCCCAGUAGCGGCGAGCGAACGGGGAGGAGCCCAGAGCCUGAAUCAGUGUGUGUGUUAGUGGAAGCGUCUGGAAAGGCGUGCGAUACAGGGUGACAGCCCCGUACACAAAAAUGCACAUAUUGUGAGCUCGAUGAGUAGGGCGGGACACGUGGUAUCCUGUCUGAAUAUGGGGGGACCAUCCUCCAAGGCUAAAUACUCCUGACUGACCGAUAGUGAACCAGUACCGUGAGGGAAAGGCGAAAAGAACCCCGGCGAGGGGAGUGAAAAAGAACCUGAAACCGUGUACGUACAAGCAGUGGGAGCCUCUUAAUGGGGUGACUGCGUACCUUUUGUAUAAUGGGUCAGCGACUUAUAUUCUGUAGCAAGGUUAACCGAAUAGGGGAGCCGAAGGGAAACCGAGUCUUAACUGGGCGUUAAGUUGCAGGGUAUAGACCCGAAACCCGGUGAUCUAGCCAUGGGCAGGUUGAAGGUUGGGUAACACUAACUGGAGGACCGAACCGACUAAUGUUGAAAAAUUAGCGGAUGACUUGUGGCUGGGGGUGAAAGGCCAAUCAAACCGGGAGAUAGCUGGUUCUCCCCGAAAGCUAUUUAGGUAGCGCCUCGUGAAUUCAUCUCCGGGGGUAGAGCACUGUUUCGGCAAGGGGGUCAUCCCGAC
This 892-nucleotide ribosomal RNA is filed under the name Escherichia coli. RNAcentral's name for it is "partial 23S ribosomal RNA". It matches the Rfam family "Bacterial large subunit ribosomal RNA", at positions 1 to 935 of the family's 2925-position model. The record is from RNAcentral. Lineage: Bacteria; Pseudomonadati; Pseudomonadota; Gammaproteobacteria; Enterobacterales; Enterobacteriaceae.